Molecule: long non-coding RNA, 944 nt
Organism: Nematostella vectensis (starlet sea anemone)
Lineage: Eukaryota; Metazoa; Cnidaria; Anthozoa; Actiniaria; Edwardsiidae
Exons: 2
Source: RefSeq, a predicted model, not a curated record
CAUCGAGCACUUUAUGGCGCGCUUUGCGGUUAUCCGCUGUCUAUGUUGUGCAUUGACUGUUAUGGUUCGUUCAAUGGCGAGUGCGGCGAUGCUAAGCAAAGAUGCUGUGCACGUGAUGAAGAACGACAUGUGAGGUCACGUUUCAGCGGCAGAUGUGAGAGAUCCACGCUUUUUGGGAUAACUGCGUGAAGGCAAAUAGUUCCUAGGCGUUUAAACGAGGGAAUGCAGGGUGGACGCUCAACCUCCCUCUAGAUCGCUUAGGAGGGGGUCUUGUCUCCUCAUAUCCACACAGCAAAUCCUAGGUACCGUAUUUACCCGCGUAUAAUGCGCACUUUUGUAUUCCUAAAAUGACCUCGAAAAAAGAAGUGCGUAUAAUUACGCUGAUCCUUUUGUUCUCAGUAUGAAGCGGUAAUGAAUAAGAAAGUGCGGCGACUAAAUUGUAGGUGAGAAACAGUCACAUACAGAAACAGCCUUCAUACCUGACAUGAAAUAGGACGAAGAUCGGUUGUGUUAUAACGCCCACGAUGAGAUCGGAGAUCGCCAUGUUGAAAAGCAAGUAGUUGAAUGAGGUCUUCAAUUCCUUAUUAGGAUCUUUCAAUAUAGCUAUGCAGAUGAACAGGUUGCCAGGCAACGUAAUGAUUGUCAAGAGACUGGUGACGACUGAUGUAAAGAUUGAUAAUCCAAAGGGUGCCCACACAUCCUUGCAAUGGUCUUCUCCAAAACCCAUUCCGUGUCACGUGAUAUUGGACUAUAGGAAUUGAAUAUAGCACAACAUGUUAGAAAGGACAAUAAACGGAAAUGAUAGACGGGUUUACUUUUAUUGUGAUUACGAUAGUUUAAAAAAAAAAAAAUUGAAAUGUGUAAAAUAAGCAAGGAUAUUUUCACCCAUAAUUUGUCCUCCAAUUUCGAAAGAAAAAGAUAAUAAACAUGUGGCUGACCAGGUA